Molecule: long non-coding RNA, 2549 nt
Organism: Musca domestica (house fly)
Lineage: Eukaryota; Metazoa; Arthropoda; Insecta; Diptera; Muscidae
Exons: 2
Source: RefSeq, a predicted model, not a curated record
CGAGCGUUGUCAGGCCUGUAACUAUGUUUAAAUUCACAGCCUCUGUUGCGAAGCAGACAAACAGAGCGAUAUAAACCUUGUGUGUUCUAUUCUCUCGUAUUUUGUAGUGGGACCAUAACGGUCCACAAUAGUCGCCGCCAAACACAACAAAUGGCCUUGUAGUUCCCAUUGUAGACUUCCCAUAAUUUGAUUGUAUAACCUCGGUUUUGCUCGUAUGCAUCUUACGCAAUUUUGCACAAUGUUGCGUGUCAUAGCCUUCCCCUUGAAGAUCCAAUAUUUCUGUCUUGAGGUUGCGAGUAGCAGUUGUGAACCACAGUGGUUCCAAAUAAAUCAUGUCAAGGAUCAGUUUUACAAUUGAGUCGUUGUAUGGUAAUGACAUCUUUUUUCGUAUACUAAGGUUACCUCCGGAGUUAAACUGUUUAUGGAAAUUCAUUUGUUCAAUGCUCCAUAUUUCCUGAACUGCUGUAUUUCUUUCGCGAAAUCCGACACCUGGAUAGUCUUGGGGUCAAUACUUCUGUCGAGCUUCGAUGCUUGCGUUCUGUUUUACUUUCGCAAGUCGCAGGACAAUUCGCUGUAAUCGACUAAAUGAACUCUUGUGGUUGAUAGCUGACACAGCAGAUUCCAUCUUAAAUUCAAGGUCAGUUCGAAUUCCUUAUUUCUUUGAGAAAGGUUCCAGCCAGAGAGAUUCAUUUCCGUGUAGAAAUGUGGGUCCAUAAAACCACAGCAUACUUCCUGACAGCCGACCCGGUUUCAUGACUCGAUAUGAAAUCUGCUGCAUUAUCCUUUGUCUAUGUCGCCAUUGAUUGCUCAGCGAUCUGCCUGGUAUACGAACGUACGUUUUUAGUGUUGAAUGUCCUGAAUUGAUCCAAUUCAAUGUAAUCUCUGAAUCAAAUAAUAGUCCAUUUCUGCCGGCUGUUCAUCGUCGUAAACAAAUUUUAUUCUUCCACAGCUUCUGAAUAAAGAUCUUCGCUGCUGACACCACAGGAGCUGCAAUUCCUUAUGGUUCGAAGAAUCUUGCCAAAUCUAAUGUGACUUUCCGCUUGGUGAUGUUGGUAAAUGCAUUCACAUCAGUCUUCAAACAAAAUUGGUCUGCUUGGGGAAAACAUGUUGAUCCAAAAACAUUGAUAGAUUAAAAAUAAAUAAAUCUUGCUUCAAGUAGUAACUGCUAAACUGCCAGACACUCACAACAUUUUUUGAAGUACCAUCGCCCCCAUUUGUUAUUUUUGUAUGUUCGUAUUUGCUAGCCUUUUCAGAUAUCUUGUAGCAAGAUAUGGGGCGCACGUAGUACGUGUUCAACAUCAGCACUUGUCUAUACAUCUUCUUAAUUAAAAAAAAACUUUUAAUACCUGGACUUCAGCUAUACGAGGCUGUAUUUCUCUCCACAUUAGUUUAAUUCAUUUUUCAUUCUGUCAAUUUUGGACAGACUUCACCAUCGUUUUAUUGGCAUGGGAGCACAUUUGUUGGAAGUAGAGUCUCGGAAAUUGCUGAUCCCAACAAUCGGUGGGAAAGACUCAAGAUUAUUUCACAGCAUUUUUGCCACAGAUGGAAGUUAGAAUAUCUCCACGAACUUUACAGAAGAAAUAAGUGAAACUGUGAAAAAUAUCAAGGAAAGAGAUUUAGUUGUCGUAAAAGAUGACAGGCUGGCUCCGCAUGAAUGGAAGUUGGGUCGUAUCGAUAGUACGUAUUCAGAUAUGGCCGCUUACUUACCCGACCAGGACUGCCGUUUAGACGAUCGCUGUCGUAGCCCAGUCAAACAGCAAAAAGAGCCAACAUACCCAUACGGCCAAUCCAACGUCCCAGUUCAACAUCCCCUGAAAGGCGACAGAGAAGCAGAUCUGAUAAGAUAAGACCCCGGCCAAGCCAUGAGUGAUCCACUCAAUUGCUCUAUGCCAAGAAGACCAUGCCCUCAGUGUCUGUGAGAUGUUCCGCAGGCAGACGCUCUUCCAGCGGUAUAAGACAGUGGAGCGUCUGCGCUAUUGCCGGAAUUGCCUGACGAGAAAUUAUCUGGCCUCCGACAGCCCGUCCUUAACUGGUUGCUGGAGAUGCAACGAUCGGCACCAUACGUUAAUGCACGGGGCGUCUCAGUUGGACGAGGUAUCACUCAACAUAGGGGCCGUAACCAACCCAGUUUUCGCGUGGGGUUUGGUAUUUGUACCAACGGCUAUGGUACGCAUAACGGCCGAGGGCAUGGAGGUGUUUAGCAUGUUGCGAGCCAUAAUUAGCUAAUCUGCGACGAUGUCAAGGAUUUCAUAUGCGAAUUUACAAAGGGGAACGAUUUGGCACCUACACAGUUUCGCCCCGCCGCACAAACAAUAAUUGGAGUCUGAAGGUAAAUGCGGUAAUAUUUGAAGAUCUGCCCAGUUGGGAUUCGUGUUUGCUGGGCCCAUUAAGAAUAUGCCUUGGAACUGAAGAACGUGGAACCUUAUGGUACAAUAAAAAGGAAAGGAAAUCCGCUAUUUACAAUUUUUUCAAAGUGUGCCCGACUUUUGCCAAUUUUGUGUAUGUAUUUGUUGUUUUAAAAAAUAAAUGCAAAAUAUUUUCGAAAUCAA